Molecule: ribosomal RNA, 454 nt
Filed under: uncultured Rikenellaceae bacterium
Lineage: Bacteria; Pseudomonadati; Bacteroidota; Bacteroidia; Bacteroidales; Rikenellaceae
Description: partial 16S ribosomal RNA
Rfam family: Bacterial small subunit ribosomal RNA
Source: RNAcentral
ACGGGAGGCAGCAGUGAGGAAUAUUGGUCAAUGGACGCAAGUCUGAACCAGCCAUGCCGCGUGCAGGAAUAAGGCCCUAUGGGUCGUAAACUGCUUUUGUGGUGGAGCAAUAAGUCGUACGUGUACGGCGAUGAGAGUACAUCACGAAUAAGCAUCGGCUAACUCCGUGCCAGCAGCCGCGGUAAUACGGAGGAUGCAAGCGUUAUCCGGAUUUAUUGGGUUUAAAGGGUGCGUAGGCUGUGGUCCAAGUCAGGGGUGAAAGCCCGGAGCUCAACUCCGGAACUGCCUUUGAUACUGGAUUGCUGGAAUACGGAUGCCGUGGGAGGAAUGAGUAGUGUAGCGGUGAAAUGCAUAGAUAUUACUCAGAACACCGAUUGCGAAGGCAUCUCACGAAUCCGUCAUUGACGCUGAGGCACGAAAGCGUGGGGAUCAAACAGGAUUAGAUACCCUGGUA